UACGGAGGGUGCAAGCGUUAUCCGGAUUCACUGGGUUUAAAGGGUGCGUAGGAGGGCAGGUAAGUCAGUGGUGAAAUCUCCGAGCUUAACUUGGAAACUGCCGUUGAUACUAUCUGUCUUGAAUAUUGUGGAGGUGAGCGGAAUAUGUCAUGUAGCGGUGAAAUGCUUAGAUAUGAUACAGAACACCAAUUGCGAAAGCAGCUUACUAUGCUAUUAUUGACGCUGAGGCACGAAAGCGUGGGGAUCAAACAGG
RNAcentral lists this ribosomal RNA (253 nucleotides) under uncultured bacterium. Its description in RNAcentral is "partial 16S ribosomal RNA". It matches the Rfam family "Bacterial small subunit ribosomal RNA", at positions 524 to 776 of the family's 1533-position model. The record is from RNAcentral.